RNAcentral lists this long non-coding RNA (1209 nucleotides) under Homo sapiens (human). RNAcentral describes it as "HSALNT0365198". The record is from RNAcentral. Lineage: Eukaryota; Metazoa; Chordata; Mammalia; Primates; Hominidae.
GCCUCCGGCUGGGGCCACCCAGGCAACCGAUAUACACAGAGAACCACGUGGAGGAAAAGCACGCGAGUUUGGAGCGGGUGGAGCAGGAACAGAGGUGGACUGGAAUGUCACACGACGGGGCAGCUGGAAGGGCACCACUGAGUUCAGUACUUCAAAAUUGCCGUGCUCUACCUCUCCCCAGUGCACAAAAACACUCUCCACACCAAGCUGCUGCUGCUGGGGGAUGGAGGGAUGGCGUCAGCGAUUCAAGACUGUUUUUCCUACCUGUUCAGCACUUCUUUCAGCGAUAUGAAGUUAAAUCCAGGUCCCACUGACCCCAGCUCUUCCUUGUGCCGGGCAAAGAUGCCUCCUGUGGGUCUGCACAGGACAUGUUUCUCCUUGAGUGUGUUGGGGACAUUCCAGGCCUGAGAGUGUCCUGAGGCUGAGAGCCCCUGUUGAGCAGAAGAGAGCUGAUGGCCCUCUUGCCUGGCCAGGACUCUCUGAAGGACUCCAGCUCCAACAUUUUCUCACUAGUAAAUGAGAUGAUUUACUCUUGACUUGGGUUUGUUUGUUUCACAUGUAAAGACACCUUCACAGCACGAAAGCUGCAGAUUCAGAGAGGGACAUCAGGUUGAGGAGGCGGGAGGGAUGUGUGUCACAGGUCCCCGGACGCUGUGUAGAUUUCUUGGUUGGCCAGUGAAAGUCCCCACAUCUCACGGAGAUCCCCAUGCCCUUCCCGAGGAAGCCUCUAGAUGUCAGAGAUGCAGACAUUGCGCGUCUCAGUGGACAAUCCAGUCCAGAAAUGGGGGUGCAGAGAGGGGCUUCUGUUGCUCUUGAGCGGGAAUUCCACGGCCCUAGGUAUGGACUUAGGUGCUGAAGGGGGGGGACCCAGGAAAGAGGUUAGGACUGGCGAGGGAGUGGAUGGGGAUGGGGUUGGGGCAUGUGUACAGGAACCAGGGCUGGGGGCCAGCCCUCUAUAAUUACCUGAGUCACCACAGAUACCCCACAGCCUCCACAAGGCCUGCUGACUUGACCAGGGAGGGACCCACGGCUGUCGCGGCCUGUGGCUGAAAGUCUGCGGGCUCCCAGUCCUCAGCAUGGUCAUUCCGGGUAGGUUUAUUUUAUUUUUUAUUUUUUUGAGAUGGAGUCUCACUCUAUCUCCCAGGCUGGAGUGCAGUGGUGCAAUCUUGGCUCACUGCAACCUCCGCCUCCCGGGUUCAAGUGAUUCUC